UACGAAGGGGGCUAGCGUUGCUCGGAAUGACUGGGCGUAAAGGGCGCGUAGGCGGAUGGCACAGUCAGAUGUGAAAUUCCCGGGCCUAACCUGGGGGCUGCAUUUGAUACGUGUUGUCUUGAGUUCGGAAGAGGGUCGUGGAAUUCCCAGUGUAGAGGUGAAAUUCGUAGAUAUUGGGAAGAACACCGGUGGCGAAGGCGGCGACCUGGUCCGACACUGACGCUGAGGCGCGAAAGCGUGGGGAGCAAACAGG
Molecule: ribosomal RNA, 253 nt
Filed under: uncultured bacterium
Lineage: Bacteria
Description: partial 16S ribosomal RNA
Rfam family: Bacterial small subunit ribosomal RNA
Source: RNAcentral